Thunnus maccoyii (southern bluefin tuna) is the source of this 800-nucleotide long non-coding RNA. RefSeq lists it as uncharacterized. The transcript is spliced from 4 exons. The record is from RefSeq and is a predicted model, not a curated record. Lineage: Eukaryota; Metazoa; Chordata; Actinopteri; Scombriformes; Scombridae.
GUCAAACUUUGGAUUUAGCCACAUGUCAAAGCGAUGUGUAUGAGGUUGCAGGAGGAGAGAUACUCAGCAUUUAAAGAAUUUGAUGUGAAUUUUCUUCACCCACUGAUGGACCAGGAGAAGCAGAACCAUUGGACAGAAGAGAGAAAAUAAGUACCGCUGGUAGAGAGAAGAGGGGCUGUUUUGUCUGUAGUCACCUGGUCCAAUGUCUCCACUGCAGCCUCUCUGCUGCGUGUGUGUGGAAGAGAUGAGCCCCGCCCUCGGUCAAACACAAAGAGCAGAGGAGGGGACAGAGAAGCUAGCACAACCAUAAAUGACAGUAAAACGCAGUAGAGAAUUCUCAUCGUCUUUUUUCUGUUCAUUCAGCUCAGGCGCUGUGAAAAAGGUGCUUGGGCGCUGCGCCUUAGUGUUAUAAUGGCAGGACAAACCCUGGAGACUAAGAUACAUUCAUUGUUCAUUGUACAUUCACUGUUUGCCUGAAUGUAUGUUCUACAACAAAGCAUUGUCCCUUAUUGUCAUUUUAAAAUAAAUGUCCUGUAUAUUGUUUUGUAUAUUGUAACUGUCUGCUGUCUCAGAAAUUAAACUCUAAAUUGCAAAAAGCACUACAUACCACAAAGGGAAAUGUGUUGAAAAGCUUUGAUAAUAAUGAUGUGCAAUGCUUCAUUUGUCAUUUUAAAAAAAGGUAAUGAGGGUAUGCCAGAUGUAAAUUAAAUUUUGAUUAUCAUAGCUCUGGAGAAAUAAAAUACCUCAUUUUACAAAUUGAUGCAGGUGGAAGGUAAUGCAAAAUAAACAAUAUUUUGGCA